RNAcentral lists this ribosomal RNA (250 nucleotides) under uncultured bacterium. Its description in RNAcentral is "partial 16S ribosomal RNA". It matches the Rfam family "Bacterial small subunit ribosomal RNA", at positions 524 to 772 of the family's 1533-position model. The record is from RNAcentral.
GACGUAGGGUCCAAGCGUUGUCCGGAUUUACUGGGCGUAAAGAGCACGUAGGCGGCUUGUUAAGUGUGAAGUGAAAUCUCCAGAGCUCAACUCGGAAACCGCUUCGCAUACUGGCAAGCUAGAGGAAUGCAGAGGUAAGUGGAAUUCCUGGUGUAGCGGUGAAAUGCAUAGAUAUCAGGAGGAACACCCAUGGCGAAGGCAGCUUACUGGGCAUUAUCUGACGCUGAGGUGCGAAAGCGUGGGGAGCAAA